This 21-nucleotide small RNA is filed under the name Karenia brevis. RNAcentral describes it as "trans-spliced leader sequence SL". The record is from RNAcentral. Lineage: Eukaryota; Dinophyceae; Gymnodiniales; Kareniaceae.
CCGUGCCCAUUUUGGCUCAAG